This 451-nucleotide ribosomal RNA is filed under the name uncultured bacterium. RNAcentral's name for it is "bacterial SSU rRNA". It matches the Rfam family "Bacterial small subunit ribosomal RNA", at positions 354 to 796 of the family's 1533-position model. The record is from RNAcentral.
GUUGGGAAUAUUGCGCAAUGGAGGAAACUCUGACGCAGCGACGCCGCGUGAGCGAAGAAGGCCUUCGGGUUGUAAAGCUCUGUCGAAUGGGAAGAAUGUAUGUAUGGCUAAUAUCCAUACAUGUUGACGGUACCAUUGGAGGAAGCACCGGCUAACUCUGUGCCAGCAGCCGCGGUAAUACAGAGGGUGCAAGCGUUGUUCGGAAUCACUGGGCGUAAAGCGUUCGUAGGCGGACUUGUUAGUAUAGGGUUAAAGCCCAGGGCCUAACCCUGGAAUCGCUCGAUAAACGGCAAGUCUAGAGUAUUGGAGAGGAUAGUGGUAUUCCCGGUGUAGAGGUGAAAUUCGUAGAUAUCGGGAAGAACACCAGAGGCGAAGGCGACUAUCUGGACAAGCACUGACGCUAAAGAACGAAAGCGUGGGGAUCAAACAGGAUUAGAUACCCUUGUAGUCC